RNAcentral lists this transfer RNA (96 nucleotides) under Sphingomonas paucimobilis. RNAcentral's name for it is "tRNA-Sec". The record is from RNAcentral. Lineage: Bacteria; Pseudomonadati; Pseudomonadota; Alphaproteobacteria; Sphingomonadales; Sphingomonadaceae.
GCUGGGUUCGGGCGGCUAUGCGCCGCGGCAGCGCUUCAACCGCAGCAAUUAUGUGCUCGCGCAUAGCUGGCGGCUCGGCUUCGGCCAGCUCGACAC